Oryza rufipogon (brownbeard rice) is the source of this 207-nucleotide microRNA precursor. It matches the Rfam family "MIR812 microRNA precursor family". The record is from Rfam. NCBI's taxonomy places the organism in Eukaryota, Viridiplantae, Streptophyta, Magnoliopsida, Poales, Poaceae.
AAUAAGUGCAGUUUUACACUAUUCACGUUUAACGUUUGACCGUUCGUCUUAGUUGAAUUUUUUUUAUGAUUAGUAUUUUUAUUGCUAUUAGAUGAUAAAACAUGAAUAAUACUUUAUGUGUGACUACAUAUUUUCAAAUUUUUCAUAUUUUUUUUAAAUAAGACGAACGGUCAAACGUUGGGCACGGAUAUCCACGGUGCACUUAUU